RNAcentral lists this long non-coding RNA (283 nucleotides) under Sorghum bicolor (sorghum). RNAcentral's name for it is "long non-coding RNA (SBIC_LNC009265)". Lineage: Eukaryota; Viridiplantae; Streptophyta; Magnoliopsida; Poales; Poaceae. The record is from RNAcentral.
GAGGACUGUAUUGCAAUCUAGCGAGAUGAAUGAUUUGUGUCCCGUUCUUCCACUUCCAUGCAGCCUACCCUCAUGUCGUAACAGAGGUAGACCUAUUACAACUUGGUCUUCUACGACACUAUUGCAGAAUGGACUUCCGAACUCAAUGGCCUUUUCGGUACAGUACCCCUGUACCAUAGAUGCCUCAGGAUGACCACGAGUUGAUACAUAGCUAUUUAGUAUUGACAUGAAAUGCUUAUACGUCGUACAUUUCAUGCAAGUACAUUGUUGACGGUCCUUAAGU